AAAGGAAUAGACGGGGGCCCGCACAAGCGGUGGAUUAUGUGGUUUAAUUCGAUGAUACGCGAGGAACCUUACCAAGACUUAAAUGGGAAUUGACAGCUUUAGAAAUAGAGCUUUCUUCGGACAAUUUUCAAGGUGCUGCAUGGUUGUCGUCAGCUCGUGCCGUGAGGUGUUAGGUUAAGUCCUGCAACGAGCGCAACCCCUGUCACUAGUUGCCAUCAUUCAGUUGGGGACUCUAGUGAGACUGCCUACGCAAGUAGAGAGGAAGGUGGGGAUGACGUCAAAUCAUCACGGCCCUUACGUCUUGGGCCACACACGUAAUACAAUGGCCGGUACAGAGGGCAGCUACACAGCGAUGUGAUGCAAAUCUCGAAAGCCGGUCUCAGUUCGGAUUGGAGUCUGCAACUCGACUCUAUGAAGCUGGAAUCGCUAGUAAUCGCGCAUCAGCCAUGGCGCGGUGAAUACGUUCCCGGGCCUUGUACACACCGCCCGU
RNAcentral lists this ribosomal RNA (490 nucleotides) under uncultured bacterium. Its description in RNAcentral is "bacterial SSU rRNA". It matches the Rfam family "Bacterial small subunit ribosomal RNA", at positions 903 to 1397 of the family's 1533-position model. The record is from RNAcentral.